This 219-nucleotide ribosomal RNA is filed under the name uncultured bacterium. RNAcentral describes it as "partial 16S ribosomal RNA". It matches the Rfam family "Bacterial small subunit ribosomal RNA", at positions 576 to 793 of the family's 1533-position model. The record is from RNAcentral.
CGGCCUGUUAAGUCAGAUGUGAAAGCCCGGGGCUUAACCUCGGAAUUGCAUUUGAAACUGGCAGGCUAGAGUCUUGUAGAGGGGGGUAGGAAUUUCAGGUGUAGCGGUGAAAUGCGUAGAGAUCUGAAGGAAUACCAGUGGCGAAGGCGGCCCCCUGGACAAAGACUGACGCUCAGAUGCGAAAGCGUGGGGAGCAAACAGGAUUAGAUACCCUGGUAG